Molecule: ribosomal RNA, 539 nt
Filed under: uncultured bacterium
Lineage: Bacteria
Description: bacterial SSU rRNA
Rfam family: Bacterial small subunit ribosomal RNA
Source: RNAcentral
AGUCAAUAGAUACCCGGGUAGUCCAUGCCGUAAACGAUGAUUGCUAGGUGUGGGGGGUCUGACCCCUUCCGUGCCGGAGUUAAACACAAAUAAGCAAUCCACCUGGGGAGUACGGCCGCAAGGUUGAAACUCAAAGGAAUUGACGGGGGCCCGCACAAGCAGUGGAGUAUGUGGUUUAAUUCGAAGCAACGCGAAGAACCUUACCAGGUCUUGACAUCCACCGAAUCCUGUAGAGAUACGGGAGUGCCCUUCGGGGAACGGUGAGACAGGUGGUGCAUGGUUGUCGUCAGCUCGUGUCGUGAGAUGUUGGGUUAAGUCCCGCAACGAGCGCAACCCUUGUGAAUAGUUGCUACGAAAGAGCACUCUAUUCAGACCGCCGUUGACAAAACGGAGGAAGGUGGGGAUGACGUCAAAUCAUCAUGCCCCUUAUGACCUGGGCUACACACGUACUACAAUGGUCGUCAACAGAGGGAAGCAAGACCGCGAGGUGGAGCGAACCCCUAAAAACGAUCUCAGUUCAGAUUGCAGGCUGAAACUCG